RNAcentral lists this ribosomal RNA (438 nucleotides) under uncultured Staphylococcus sp. Its description in RNAcentral is "bacterial SSU rRNA". It matches the Rfam family "Bacterial small subunit ribosomal RNA", at positions 460 to 896 of the family's 1533-position model. Lineage: Bacteria; Bacillati; Bacillota; Bacilli; Caryophanales; Staphylococcaceae. The record is from RNAcentral.
AUUACUUAAGUGACGGUAUCUAACCAGAAAGGGACGGCUAACUACGUGCCAGCAGCCGCGGUAAUACGUAGGUGGCAAGCGUUAUCCGGAAUUAUUGGGCGUAAAGCGCGCGUAGGCGGUUUCUUAAGUCUGAUGUGAAAGCCCACGGCUCAACCGUGGAGGGUCAUUGGAAACUGGGGAACUUGAGUGCAGAAGAGGAGAGUGGAAUUCCAUGUGUAGCGGUGAAAUGCGCAGAGAUAUGGAGGAACACCAGUGGCGAAGGCGGCUCUCUGGUCUGUAACUGACGCUGAUGUGCGAAAGCGUGGGGAUCAAACAGGAUUAGAUACCCUGGUAGUCCACGCCGUAAACGAUGAGUGCUAAGUGUUAGGGGGUUUCCGCCCCUUAGUGCUGCAGCUAACGCAUUAAGCACUCCGCCUGGGGAGUACGACCGCAAGGUUG